RNAcentral lists this ribosomal RNA (325 nucleotides) under uncultured Raoultella sp. Its description in RNAcentral is "bacterial SSU rRNA". It matches the Rfam family "Bacterial small subunit ribosomal RNA", at positions 355 to 658 of the family's 1533-position model. Lineage: Bacteria; Pseudomonadati; Pseudomonadota; Gammaproteobacteria; Enterobacterales; Enterobacteriaceae. The record is from RNAcentral.
UGGGAAGUAUUGCAUCAAUGGCGGCAAGCCAUGACUGCAGCCAUGCCCGCGCUGUAUGAAGAAGGCCAAUUCGGGGCUUUGGUUAAAGAUACUUUUCAGCGAGGAGGAAGGCAUUAAGGUUAAUAACCUUAGUGAUUGACGUUACUCGCAGAAGAAGCACCGGCUAACUCCGUGCCAGCAGCCGCGGUAAUACGGAGGGUGCAAGCGUUAAUCGGAAUUACUGGGCGUAAAGCGCACGCAGGCGGUCUGUCAAGUCGGAUGUGAAAUCCCCGGGCUCAACCUGGGAACUGCAUCCGAAACUGGCAGGCUAGAGUCUUGUAGAGGG